This is a non-coding RNA of Bactrocera oleae (olive fruit fly), 884 nucleotides long. The record is from RefSeq and is a predicted model, not a curated record. Lineage: Eukaryota; Metazoa; Arthropoda; Insecta; Diptera; Tephritidae.
AUUCAGUUUAGAACGUGGGCCUGAACGAGCCGGUUCGCUACUUGUCGGCACAACGAGCAAUGUAACAAUAGAAAAAGAUAUAGAUAAGAAUUAAAGCAGAAGCCCAGAGACGGCAAAGUAAAUCUCAAAAAUAUAAAUUAUGACUGUCAAGUAUUGCGCAGCUAAGGAAAUUAUUGCUAUUUUUAGUAAAAUGGCACAGGCGAAUUAAAAAAGUGCGUUUGUGAUUGGAAAGUGUUGACUAAGUGGAAAUAAGCGAUAGGUUGAGGUAAAAAAGGCAAGGCGAAGCGGCAGCUGUGCAAGUUUGAGUGAAAAUCGUUCUACCAUUUAGGCAUACACAUCAGUGUUCAGUGUGUGUGUUAGUGCAGUUAUUAAUCUAGCGGUGGUCUUCUAGAGAAAAAAUUCAAAACCACGAAGCGCAUAAAUUUUAAUUAAACGCACAGGCGCUCGUGUUUUCCGCGCCUAAGCUCACGGUUUCCGUCACUCGAACAACGUCAUCAUCAGCAAUAUCCGUUGAGAUAGUUUAAAGAGAACAAGGAUCCGGAACGUGCCUCUGGGAAAACAGCGAAAGCAGCUUCGCUAUAAAUUUCUAAAUGCAGACGAUCAGAAUCUUCCUCGAUUGGAGACCAGGGUAACUCCUUAAUUUAGCUUUGUGCUUUCUACGCGUGCCUUGUGAUGACCAAAAGACUUCAAAAGCUCAAAUGAGAUCAAGAUGAUCCACUUCAGUGAAUACCAGCAAGAGGCUUUGUUGUUAGCGAACAAUUCGUACCAUUUUGCGGUGGAUUUCCAGCACUUGCAUAUAAGGAAGAAAACAGACACCACAUAAUUAUAUCUUAUGCCGACAUGUAACUCAAAUCUUAAUAUUAAUAAAAGUGCAAUAAGUAAAA